Molecule: long non-coding RNA, 361 nt
Filed under: Mytilus galloprovincialis (Mediterranean mussel)
Lineage: Eukaryota; Metazoa; Mollusca; Bivalvia; Mytilida; Mytilidae
Source: RNAcentral
GUCUCAUUUAAAAUCAUAACAAAACUUCUUACCCCUCUUUUUCCAGGAAUAUUUUGAUCAUCUUUAUUAAGAUGAUUCUCCUUAACUGAUGAUCUGACCCUCCUUCCCCCCUCUUUUUCCUGGAAUAUUUUGAUCAUCUUUAUCUAGGUGAUUCUCCUUAACUGAUGAUCUGACCCUCCUCCCCCUCUUUUUCCAGGAAUAUUUCGAUCAUCUUUAUCUAGAUGAUUCUCCUUAACUGAUGAUCUGACCCUCCUCCCCUUCUUUUUCCUAGAAUAUUUUGAUCAUCUUUAUCUAGAUGAUUCUCCUUCACUGAUGAUCUGACCCUCCUCCCCCUCUUUUUCCUGGAAUAUUUUGAUCAUCU